This is a long non-coding RNA of Lethenteron reissneri (Far Eastern brook lamprey), 1122 nucleotides long. RefSeq lists it as uncharacterized. NCBI's taxonomy places the organism in Eukaryota, Metazoa, Chordata, Hyperoartia, Petromyzontiformes, Petromyzontidae. The record is from RefSeq and is a predicted model, not a curated record.
UGCCCCCAUCUUCACCACUCUCUCCCUCCUGCCUCUAGCCCCACUCUCUCCCUCCUGCCUCUAACCCCACUCUCUCCCUGCUGUCUCUAACCUCACUCUCUCCCCUCUGCUCCGCGUAUCUCCCCUCUCUGCCCCCAUCUUCACCACUCUCUCCAAUUCUCUUCAUCUCCCUCUCUGCUGUCUCUAACUCCACUCUCUCCCCUCUGUGCUGUCUCUAACCCCACUCUCUCCCUCCUGCCUCUAACCCCACUCUCUCUGCUGCUGUCUCUAACCCCACUCUCUCCCCUCUCUACCCCCAUCUUCACAACUCUCUCCCUCCUGCCUCUAACCCCACUCUCUCUCUCUGCUGCCUCUAACCCCACUCUCUCUCUCCUCUCUACCCCAAUCUUCACCACUCUCUCCCUUUCUCUUCAUCUCUCUCUGCCGCCUCUAGCCCGAUUCUCUCCCCGACGUGGACAUUUGUAAUCCUCCUCGCGUCACGUGCAUCCAGUUCCUGGUCUCGUAUCGUCCCACCGCUCACUUUCGCCUCUCUCUCACUCACUCUCUCGUCUCAGUCAAAUUCGUGAAGCGUUCUCGUCUCACUCUCACCAUCUCGGUCUCUCGCUCCCCCAUCUCUCGCCCCCCAUCUCACUCCCCGUCUCUCUCCCCUCUCUCCUCUCUCUCCCCCGUCUCUCUCCCCCGUCUCUCUCUCGUCUCACUCCAACCAUCUCGGGUUCACUCCACCAUCUCACUCCCCCGUCUCUCUCCCCUCUCUCGACCCGUCUCACUCUCUCCCCGUCUCUCACUUGGACAUGUUGCUCAAACCGCACGGAUUAACUCCACCUCGUGAGACCAGACGCCCCGGGACCAUAAAGGGCCACCCACACAUCAGUAUCGAAGGCGCACUCCCAAACCGUGGCCACGGACCCCAGUUCGAUUCCCGGCCGCCGUCAGCCACAUCGAGUGGCGAGUGCGUGAGCCGGUCGUCCCGUGCCUCCGUCUUUCCGCCGAGUAUCGAUUCUGCCUUCGGUCUAAGGAGACGUCUGCCCUGAUCAAGGAGGCCUCCAGCUUAACACGAGGGCGAGGACGGGGUGGUGGUGGUGGUGGUUGCGGUGGUGGUUGUCGGUGGUGGUGGCUGUUGUU